UACGGAGGGUGCAAGCGUUAAUCGGAAUUACUGGGCGUAAAGCGCACGCAGGCGGUCUGUUAAGUCAGAUGUGAAAUCCCCGGGCUUAACCUGGGAACUGCAUUUGAAACUGGCAGGCUUGAGUCUUGUAGAGGGGGGUAGAAUUCCAGGUGUAGCGGUGAAAUGCGUAGAGAUCUGGAGGAAUACCGGUGGCGAAGGCGGCCCCCUGGACAAAGACUGACGCUCAGGUGCGAAAGCGUGGGGAGCAAACGGG
This 253-nucleotide ribosomal RNA is filed under the name uncultured bacterium. RNAcentral describes it as "partial 16S ribosomal RNA". It matches the Rfam family "Bacterial small subunit ribosomal RNA", at positions 524 to 776 of the family's 1533-position model. The record is from RNAcentral.